CAUGUCUAGUAUAAGCAAUCUAUACGGUGAAACUGCGAAUGGCUCAUUAAAUCAGUUAUCGUUUAUUUGAUAGUACCUUACUACUUGGAUAACCGUGGUAAUUCUAGAGCUAAUACAUGCUAAAAACCCCGACUUCGGAAGGGGUGUAUUUAUUAGAUAAAAAACCAAUGCCCUUCGGGGCUCCUUGGUGAUUCAUAAUAACUUAACGAAUCGCAUGGCCUUGUGCCGGCGAUGGUUCAUUCAAAUUUCUGCCCUAUCAACUUUCGAUGGUAGGAUAGUGGCCUACCAUGGUUUCAACGGGUAACGGGGAAUUAGGGUUCUAUUCCGGAGAGGGAGCCUGAGAAACGGCUACCACAUCCAAGGAAGGCAGCAGGCGCGCAAAUUACCCAAUCCCGACACGGGGAGGUAGUGACAAUAAAUACUGAUACAGGGCUCUUUUGGGUCUUGUAAUUGGAAUGAGUACAAUUUAAAUCCCUUAACGAGGAACAAUUGGAGGGCAAGUCUGGUGCCAGCAGCCGCGGUAAUUCCAGCUCCAAUAGCGUAUAUUAAAGUUGUUGCAGUUAAAAAGCUCGUAGUUGAACCUUGGGCCUGGCUGGCCGGUCCGCCUCACCGCGUGCACUGGUCCGGCCGGGCCUUUCCUUCUGGGGAGCCGCAUGCCCUUCACUGGGUGUGUCGGGGAACCAGGACUUUUACUUUGAAAAAAUUAGAGUGUUCAAAGCAGGCCUAUGCUCGAAUACAUUAGCAUGGAAUAAUAGAAUAGGACGUGUGGUUCUAUUUUGUUGGUUUCUAGGACCGCCGUAAUGAUUAAUAGGGAUAGUCGGGGGCAUCAGUAUUCAAUUGUCAGAGGUGAAAUUCUUGGAUUUAUUGAAGACUAACUACUGCGAAAGCAUUUGCCAAGGAUGUUUUCAUUAAUCAGUGAACGAAAGUUA
This 929-nucleotide ribosomal RNA is filed under the name Helotiales sp. RNAcentral describes it as "SSU rRNA". It matches the Rfam family "Eukaryotic small subunit ribosomal RNA", at positions 54 to 992 of the family's 1831-position model. The record is from RNAcentral. Lineage: Eukaryota; Fungi; Ascomycota; Leotiomycetes; Helotiales.